AGAAGCGCGGUGAGGUAGCAUUUUUGCGCUGGAGGGAUGGAGACGAAAGGUCGCUAAGUGACAGCUUGCAAAUUUUCAAAUAACAUCAGUCUAUUCGUUUUCGUUUUCGCUUUAAGUCGAUAAAAUACUAAUGUUUGCUACAAUAACCCGCAUAAUCAAAAACCAUUGCUGAAGCGUAUCCCCAAAUAGGAUAGUCAGCACUGUUUGUCCACCACACCUUCAACGGUUGAAGUUCCAUCGAAAAACGAAGAGAUAUCUUCCAGUAAACGCUGUAGUCGCAGGUGUUUGUCAAACUAUAAUGAAAGUAUCUCCGAGCAGAACGAUGUUGAAGUCCACAUUGCACGACGACAAAUGCAAAACAGCGCCCCUCGCAGCCUGGAAGAAUACAAAUAUGACCAGUCACAAAAAGAAAAGUGCAAGAUGGCUGGCAAGUGAUGAUAUC
This is a long non-coding RNA of Wyeomyia smithii (pitcher-plant mosquito), 442 nucleotides long. RefSeq lists it as uncharacterized. The record is from RefSeq and is a predicted model, not a curated record. The transcript has 3 exons. NCBI's taxonomy places the organism in Eukaryota, Metazoa, Arthropoda, Insecta, Diptera, Culicidae.